AUUGAACGCUGGCGGCAUGCUUUACACAUGCAAGUCGAACGGCAGCGCGGGCUUCGGCCUGGCGGCGAGUGGCGAACGGGUGAGUAAUGCAUCGGAACGUGCCCAGUAGUGGGGGAUAGCCCGGCGAAAGCCGGAUUAAUACCGCAUACGACCUGAGGGUGACAGCGGGGGACCGAAAGGCCUCGCGCUAUUGGAGCGGACGAUGUCGGAUUCGCUAGUUGGUGGGGUAAAGGCUUACCAAGGCGACGAUCCGCAGCUGGUCUGAGAGGACGACCAGCCACACUGGGACUGAGACACGGCCCAGACUCCUACGGUGGGCAGCAGUGGGGAAUUUUGGGCAAUGGGGGCAACCCUGAUCCAGCCAUGCCGCGGGCGGGAAGAAGGCCUUCGGGUUGUAAACCGCUUUUGUUCGGGAAGAAAUCCUCUGGGCUAAUACCCCGGGGGGAUGACGGUACCGGAAGAAUAAGCACCGGCUAACUACGUG
Molecule: ribosomal RNA, 484 nt
Filed under: uncultured bacterium
Lineage: Bacteria
Description: partial 16S ribosomal RNA
Rfam family: Bacterial small subunit ribosomal RNA
Source: RNAcentral